CGGCCAGCCAUGUUUCUCCUCACUUUCUUCCUCCACAAGCCUUGCCUCCCAACUAACCCAACAAUUAAAUGGGCAGCCACCCACCUCCACCAAUCAAAGAGGAGGCAGCCAACCCUCUCCCUCUAUAAAUAGAGCUUGGCCGGCCACCUCCUCCCCAUUUGCUCAUUUUCUACACUCUCCACUCCUUCCUCCACUCUAGCCACUCACUCCCCUUCUUCUUCCCACGAGCUGCUGCUCCCCCUUGCUCACAUGGCCGGCCAUGGCCAUGAAAACCGGCCAAGAUGCUGCUCCCCUCCUCCCUCAAGUUUCCCCUCACCAUGAGAACAUCUCUCUCACUCUCUUCUCCCCUAAUCUUUGAUGAAUCCAGCUCCUUUUCUCUUCUCCCCUCUCACAAGAUUGGAUCUUGAUGCAGGUGCAUGUUGGUCCAAGCAUGGAGAAGGUUGAGCAAUCCUCAGAUCUGAAACUCUUGACCAAAGUCCAAAUCGAGCGAUUCAAAGUUCCAAAGAUAGGUAUCGAAAAUAUCUACAACUUGGCGUUGGUCUCAUCUUCAAAUUAGUUACGGAUUUUGCAUGAUCAAGAUCUGAUCAGAUCUGACUUUGUCGAAUUAAACCAGGAGUUUGGAGACGAAUUUUUGAAUGAAACCAACUGGGGGAUAAUUGGUUUAUACCAUGGUGAUAGCCGAGAGAGGCAAUUGCUAAGUUAUGAUGCACUCAUGCCUCUACUAGAUGCGAACUAUUCCGGAGGAGAAGAAGAAGAGGAAUCGGACGAGGAUUUUAUUUAUGUUGUUGGGAUUCUUAUAUUGAUGGAGUUGAAGAAUUCCAGGGACAAAUAAGCCAAGGCAAGCCAUCUUUGAACUCUGAAUGAUGUGGUGUUGGAUGUCAAUUUUUGAUGUCCCUAAGCAUCUUAUCCCUUAUGUGAUGUUCUCUCUAUGUUGGUCUAUGUAUGGAUGUAAUUGGAGUAUUUCCUUGUGGUGGUCUUUCACCUUUGUUCACAUGUUGGAGGGAUGCACGGUAUCACGGCCGUGCUACUCCUUUGGGUCCACUUGUGUGCUCAACAUGAGCAUGUCAUUUCCAAAAUAGAGUCUUACACCACACCCCCACCUUGUUGAGUCUAGAAGUAUCAAGGUCAUGAAGCUUGGUGUAAUUCUCAACUUGA
Molecule: non-coding RNA, 1155 nt
Organism: Lolium perenne
Lineage: Eukaryota; Viridiplantae; Streptophyta; Magnoliopsida; Poales; Poaceae
Source: RefSeq, a predicted model, not a curated record